Molecule: ribosomal RNA, 497 nt
Filed under: uncultured bacterium
Lineage: Bacteria
Description: partial 16S ribosomal RNA
Rfam family: Bacterial small subunit ribosomal RNA
Source: RNAcentral
GAUGAACGCUGGCGGCGUGCCUAAUACGUGCAAGUCGAGCGAACGGACGAGAAGCUUGCUUCUCUGAUGUUAGCGGCGGACGUGUGAGUAACACGUGGAUAACCUACCUAUAAGACUUGGAUAACUUCGGGAAACCGGAGCUAAUACCGGAUAAUAUUUUGAACCGCAUGGUUCAAAAGUGAAAGACGGUCUUGCUGUCACUUAUAGAUGGAUCCGCGCUGCAUUAGCUAGUUGGUAAGGUAACGGCUUACCAAGGCAACGAUGCAUAGCCGACCUGAGAGGGGGAAUGGGCAAACGGGAAGAGAGAAACGGGACAGAAGACUAAGGGAGGGAGCAGUAGGGAAAAGUGCGGAAAGGGGGAAAGGCGGAAGGAGGAAAGGCGAGGGAGAGAAGAAGGGCGUAGGAGGGGAAAAAUCUGGUAAUAGGGAAGAAAAAAAGGGGAAGUAACUGUGCACAUCUUGACGGUAACUAAUCAGAAAGCCACGGCUAACUACGUG